RNAcentral lists this ribosomal RNA (403 nucleotides) under Verrucomicrobiota bacterium. RNAcentral's name for it is "Verrucomicrobia bacterium partial 16S ribosomal RNA". It matches the Rfam family "Bacterial small subunit ribosomal RNA", at positions 355 to 776 of the family's 1533-position model. The record is from RNAcentral. Lineage: Bacteria; Pseudomonadati; Verrucomicrobiota.
UGGGGUAUAUUGCACAAUGGGCGCAAGCCUGAUGCAGCAACGCCGCGGGAACGAUGAAGGUCUUCGGAUCGUAAAGUUCUGUUGCAGGGGAAGAUAAUGACGGUACCCUGUGAGGAAGCCCCGGCUAACUACGUGCCAGCAGCCGCGGUAAUACGUAGGGGGCUAGCGUUAUCCGGAUUUACUGGGCGUAAAGGGUGCGUAGGUGGUCUUUCAAGUCGGUGGUUAAAGGCUACGGCUCAACCGUAGUUAGCCUCCGAAACUGGAAGACUUGAGUGCAGGAGAGGAAAGUGGAAGUCCCAGUGGUGCGGUGAAAUGCGUAGAUAUUGGGAGGAACACCAGUAGCGAAGGCGGCUUUCUGGACUGCAACUGACACUGAGGCACGAAAGCGUGGGUAGCAAACAGG